This is a long non-coding RNA of Selaginella moellendorffii, 1161 nucleotides long. RefSeq lists it as uncharacterized. Lineage: Eukaryota; Viridiplantae; Streptophyta; Lycopodiopsida; Selaginellales; Selaginellaceae. The transcript is spliced from 4 exons. The record is from RefSeq and is a predicted model, not a curated record.
UUCUCAUUAGUUGGAAUUCCGGAAUGGAACUGGAAUGAGCUUCGCGCGAGGUGAGCGAGGGUUUUGUUGAUGUGGAUCCGGGAGCGACGCGAUGGCGCUAGAGGUCUGACGCAGAUCGAAGGGUAUAGGUUUUAGCAGCGAUGGAGUGGACGGCGAGGAGGUCCAGGGAGCCGAGAGCCGGCCACAGUGUGGAGCAUUUCAUCACUCGCAGGCGCUCUUCGCGUUUUUUUUUUUCCUCCCAGGAUUGGAGCAUUAAGUCGUGGGAUCUAGAUACCGAGCACACGCAUUUUCUUUAUUCUCCAGCCAAGAAAACAGACAGGAUCUCAGAAGAGAUGGCGAUACAACUUCGACCGUGGCUGUUCUUUGGAACGUAUUUAAAUGUUGUUUACCUGUUUGCUUCUGGAUGCUAAAUGCUCAUUAAACUUGGCAGCACUCAAGCGGGUUCAAAUCCAGUAUCAGCUCUUUCCUGGCAUUCUAUGUUGUGGUUACUUGUGACUCUUUCAAAGGAUGGCAUGGUGCAGGAUGUGUGCGAACUUCUUCGAGUCUGCAGGCGUUGAAAGUUUGGAUGUUGCUAAGGUUCUGGCUCAAUGUAGUAUACCCUGUCCCGAAGAUCACUUAUCUAUUCCAGGGAGGUCACUCGACCUGUGCUAACUUCAGCUUGGUCUCGUAUGUCACCAUAGCUCGCCACGUAGUUCUCUUCCAGGUACUUCUCUAUUGUUUUGGCCUUGGCAGGAGACUCCACCACGGCCACCCACCUUUCCUGUGAGAGCAGCCCGUUUUCUUGUUCUAUUGUCUCUUUGGAGGAAUCGAUGGCAGUUGCAACUCUUACUUCUUGUUCUAUCGUAAUUGAUGGCAGUUGCAGCCACUCCUUUCCUUCCAAAUCAGUGCUUGAUCAGCCGCUAGCAUCUCAAACCAAAGCUGGAUCUCAAGUGCGUAUCUGGAGGGCAGUCACACGGAACAAGAAAGAAGCAAAAUAUACUCGUUGAUCGUUUGUGAUCUGUUGAAGGAUAAGUCUCUUGGAGUAAAGCUUGAGGAUAGUCGAUCUCAGUCUUGAAGGCCCUCCAAGUAGUAUCACAAUGUCAUGGGAAUGGAGUGGAGUUCAUCAAAGGAACCCUGGACAAGCACCAAACAUUUUCAAAACCGAUAUUACAUUUAGAAGAA